AGAACGAACGCUGGCGGCAGGCCUCAAACAUGCAAGUCUAGGGGGUGUAGCAAUACAUCACCGGCGGACGGGUGCGUAACACGUGGGAAUAUACCUUUUGGUUCGGAACAACGCAGGGAAACUUGCGCUAAUACCGGAUAAGCCCUUACGGGGAAAGAUUUAUCGCCAAAGGAACGGCCCGCGUCCGAUUAGCUAGUUGGUGAGGUAAUGGCUCACCAAGGCGACGAUCGGUAGCUGGUCUGAGAGGAUGACCAGCAUCACUGGGACUGAGACACGGCCCAGACUCCUACGGGAGGCAGCAGUGGGGGAAUAUUGGACAAUGGGCGCAAGCCUGAUCCAGCCAUGCCGCGUGGAUGAUGAAGGCCCUAGGGUUGUAAAGUCCUUUUAACGGGGAGAUAAUGACGGUACCCGUAGAAUAAGCCCGGCUAACUUCGUGCCAGCAGCCGC
RNAcentral lists this ribosomal RNA (447 nucleotides) under uncultured bacterium. RNAcentral's name for it is "SSU rRNA". It matches the Rfam family "Bacterial small subunit ribosomal RNA", at positions 26 to 518 of the family's 1533-position model. The record is from RNAcentral.